AUCAACAGAGGCACUAAAAGGUGUUCUAGUACUAGUGCAGAUCCUCCUUGCACAGGAUUCGUUGAAGGAAUGGCUCCGGUGUUUUCGAAAGCUGCUUGGUUUUGCACUUGGAAUCUUAUACAGAAUGAUUUGGUUCAUGGAUGGGGAAUGGAUAUGAAACUCGGGUAUUG
Long non-coding RNA from Camelina sativa (false flax), 170 nucleotides. RefSeq lists it as uncharacterized. The record is from RefSeq and is a predicted model, not a curated record. NCBI's taxonomy places the organism in Eukaryota, Viridiplantae, Streptophyta, Magnoliopsida, Brassicales, Brassicaceae.